GUUUGAUACCCCCUCUAUUCUUGGACAUAAUUAAAAUGAUUAACGCAGCCACACCUGCUUUCUGUUGACUAUGAUCCAAUUUUAGAUUGUACCACCUAGUAUUUUUUCCUGACAUUAUAAUUUUGCCAUAAUUUUGUAGUUUUUUCAGUACUCAUUGAUAAUGGCUAAUUCCAAACAGUUCCUCUAGUCUAUCAUUUAACUCUUCUUAAAAAUCCCAUGUGCAAUAGUUACAAUAAAAAUUACUUCUUGAAUUGCUGUUUUCCAGAGAGCUGAAAAAUGUGUCUCUACUCUCUGCUUGGGCUGACCUGCUGGCAUUCACAUUGAAUGCCUAAUACAUGCAGUGUGUGAGAGCUGGAGAGAUGACAGAUGACAUCAACUGUAGGAGAUGAGGAUCCAAAGCGCAGAAAAUUUUCUAAAGCUGUAACAGAGCACCGAGUGGAUUUGGUUUCAGCUAGAAACCCCAUAGAGCAAACUGUCCUCUACUGCCCUGAUAUGUCUUCGUGGUCACAUACUGCUCAUGUUGGAGGAUGGCAGUGCAAGCCAAGUGUAAAAGCAGAACUGUUUAAUGUCAUUGGCUCAAGUUUCUGCUCAUAUUCAUCAUCUUAGGUGACACACUGUCACAUGAGCCCUUAUACCAGACCUGGAGCUGAUCUGCAAUUUGCUGGCUUUGCGUGGAAGCAGAAUUAAAGCCAGAUGUUUCCACGUGCCUGAGCAUACACUCAUGGCACAGACAGAUACACCAGACGUCUGAUAUUCCUGUGGAUUAACCUAGUAGACUCCCCUUAAUAUUAAAGCCUUUAUACUGAAGACGAGUUUCAGUUGAGAUGUGUAUUGUGUUUCUCUCAAUUUAUUCUGUAUAGUGAGCUAAAUAAUUCAAUGUAUAAUGUGCCUUGAAAUUGUCCACUUUCAGUUCUUUAUGCUAUGAAUGUUUCUGUACUUAACACUGUCAGCAAAUCUUUCUGAGUUAACUGUUGCUGGGCAGCCAAGGGCGAUGAUAGCACAUUUAUCAGUAAUUAGAAGUGUUUGUAUCUAUCUUCAGGUAGAAAAGAAUAAAUAUCUGCUUAAGAAAUAUUGUGGGAAGCA
This 1083-nucleotide long non-coding RNA is filed under the name Numida meleagris (helmeted guineafowl). RNAcentral describes it as "lncRNA (ENSNMEG00000012458.1)". The record is from RNAcentral. Lineage: Eukaryota; Metazoa; Chordata; Aves; Galliformes; Numididae.